RNAcentral lists this unclassified non-coding RNA (1745 nucleotides) under Hevea brasiliensis (rubber tree). Lineage: Eukaryota; Viridiplantae; Streptophyta; Magnoliopsida; Malpighiales; Euphorbiaceae. The record is from RNAcentral.
UUAUUAUUAUUAUUAUUAUUUUACUGUGAUUCCAUUUGAUUGAAGAUUAUUAGGAUCAAGAAGCACAAGGAGCAGUUUGUGUGGCGGAAAGAUUGAGUGUGAGUGCAAAAUCAAAUUGAAAUCGCAUCUUUGUUUAAUCGAUUCCUUUGCCUCAUUGUUUUGGAAAUGAAGAAUUGUGCAAAACCCGACUAGGCUGUUUAAGGCAUAAUUACAAAGAUUCAUUCUCCUGUGAGAAUGGCAAUAAUGAUUUCAAUUUAGCUGAAGGAAAGCUGUUGAUGAACACUGGACUGGACCCAAAUGCAGUCUACUCCUCAUCUAUUACCUAUUUCACUUUCUACAAGAAGCCGAUGUGCGUAAGAACCAAACCAAAUUAGCAUUUGAACAAAAGUGAAUAAGCAUCUGCUACAAGUGUUAGUUGUAAAUCACAGAGUUUGAAGAUUGAUUCAAGAUACAUCUCCUCACCCUUAAGGAGCUUGUUAACAUGAUCAAUCUCCAAGGUAUCCCUUGUGCUUACACGCAAUUGGUCUCAUGGAAGGUCAAAAGAAAGCAUGACCAAGCAAUCACCAAAUCCAGUAUGUGCUACGUAACAGUAGAAAUGCAAUCACAAAAUUCAAGUGUUAUGAAACUCUCUUUUCCAAGUAAAAUUAGACUAAUACAUACAACUAUGCUUUCAACAUCAGGCUAAGAGUGAACAAUCUCAUGGAGUUGGACGUUCCAAACUUGCUGCUUGCUUUGUUUCUGCCAUUUCAACUUCAAAUGCACCAGAAUCUGAAGAUAUUUCCUUCUCCAUUGCCAUCCAUUUUAUUUUUGCCACUCGUAUGGCCUGCAAUUCAUAUCUGAUAAACAAGAUGUCAGAUUUUGUAUGUGGAUGUGCAAAUUAAUAUACGGAUAUAUCAUAUAUGUCCGUGUGAGAAAUAAAUAGGUAAAUAAUAUAUCUUGUGCAACUGAAAGAGCAGGCAAUAAAUAACUAUCAAUCUCCUGUUACUCACGAGAUUACGCUCAAGGCAUUUAUGAGAUUAAGCAACUGCUUAGCGUGUUAAGUACCAAUUGCAAUUAUGGUAUAGGGAUCUAUAAAAAAAAGGGUUAAAAAAAAAAAAUACCAUACUUAAGACUAAUCUGGAGCUAGUGCACAUAUAAAGGAAAAAUAUGCAGAUCUAAUAAUUUCAAAAAUAACAAAAGCAACAAAAUGAAUCCAGAAUUAGCAUAUAUGUCCAAACCUAAAACCAAAAUUAGUACCAAACAAUUUCAGCUGUGGCCUGCAUCGUAGAUAGGAGUAGGAGAUGAGGCAACCAGCCAUACCUUCUGAAUUAUUUUCUUUAGAGAUAUUAUCUCAGUUAAAGAUUUUCUCAAGUAUUUAUCUAAAAAUGGAAGAAUUUGCUUCCAGGCCAAAGAUCAACUGUUUGCAAACUAGUGCAGGAACAACAGUAUUUCAAUUGAAUCUAUCCUAUAUGUUAUUAUAACUUAUGAGCUAUGGUGUUACACAUUCUAAACAAACAUGUUCAUUCCCUCCCUAAUUGCUUAUUACUUGAAAGAUCAUCGUGAAACAGCACUACAUUAGGUCCAAUUAAAAGUCCUACUUGUGAGAAAAGCAGUUGCAUGUAUAAAAAGAAAGCUCAGAUUUCUACUGAAAUGAUACUGCUCCAGUGGAGUCUGCAGCACACUUCAUACUUGAUCAUUCUCUUUCAAGUUAUGCAACUGCAUUGAUACCUAGAAUACCAGUAACUUGAGACACUAUGAACUCAUGA